Engraulis encrasicolus (European anchovy) is the source of this 1119-nucleotide RNA transcript. It is a transcript of the gene named THAP domain-containing protein 3-like, with no coding region annotated. The transcript has 5 exons. The record is from RefSeq and is a predicted model, not a curated record. NCBI's taxonomy places the organism in Eukaryota, Metazoa, Chordata, Actinopteri, Clupeiformes, Engraulidae.
CGCCAAGUAAUUAACACUCCUGGACCGAUGUGAAAACGUUCGUCCAGGAUUAAUGUUAUAGCCAACCAAUCAGGGGUCAUUAGAGGUGGGAUCAUUAGAGGUGGUACGUCAUCAACAGGGCGACUAGCAUUUCCAAAUAUUCGCCUUAUUCACCCGGAACGUUCUAAAGACGUUGAGGGGUACACUUCAGGGGUACAUUCGGCAACGCACCAGCUGUCAUGGCGCCUCAGUGUUGUGUGCCCAAAUGUGCGUCCUCAAAGAGAAAAAAUCCUACCGUGGACAGACUUUCCACCGUUUCCCCAAAGAGCAGGCACUUCGCCGUGAAUGGAUAAAUCACGUCAAGAGGGAUCCUGGUCCAUAUUUCAAGAUCAACGCUGAGACCAAGGUUUGCUCUGAGCACUUUGAGAAGCAGUGUUUUGUAAAGACCGCCCGUGGUAUCACAGAGCUUAUAAAGGAUGCUGUGGCAACUUUGUUCGCCUGGACUUCAGAGAGGCCAAAGAGGAGAAUCAUCAUUCGCAGACCGAGUACGGAUUCCAUGGAGGUGGAUGAAAACCAGCCUGAUGUGAGAAGGGAUGCCUUGAGUGUUGUCUUGUUGUCCCUCCAGCACAGAUGUACCUCCUCCACAGCCAUACCAUGAUUAUGCUGUUCCACCGCUGACACCAGAGGGACAACUUGAGGCGGCACGCAAGCACAUCAUAGAGCAAGACAAGUUAAUAGCACAACCUAAAGGGACACUGUGUGGAGCUUUCCCAUGACCAAGAGAUGAACGCUAAACUCAAUAGUUUUUUUUUUCUCCUCCUUCCUGCCUGCACUGUAGAAAAAAGUCAGUAAACAAAACAAAUGAUUGGAUUUCACAGAUUUGUUUAUUACAAUUUCAGAGAGAAGUGAUGUAUGCAUAAUAAAAUACAUUAUUAUAUAAUAAUAUAACAUUUAGUAUAAUAAGAUGAUCUAUGAUGCACACUUAAAGCAUGAGAGAUUUGUAGAAAUAAACAUCAAUUCAAUGUAUGUUUCCUAUUUCACUUGUGACUGAAUUUUUCAUAAUUUCAGAAUAAUGGGCCUUGGACGUUUGUUAACAUUGCACUCACUGCCCACAUCUGGUUAACAGAGCCUACUAGUGUC